Molecule: long non-coding RNA, 323 nt
Organism: Gadus morhua (Atlantic cod)
Lineage: Eukaryota; Metazoa; Chordata; Actinopteri; Gadiformes; Gadidae
Exons: 5
Source: RefSeq, a predicted model, not a curated record
UUGCUGCUGUGACAGCUAAUAUAGCAGGGCUGAAGGCUGAGAGCAGAAGCCCUUGAAGCUGUCAGAGAGGAGCCAUGGACAAUGUCUCUGAAUCGGACCCUGGACUCACUAUGGAACCUGAGGGCAAGUCUUUGGACCAGAGGAAGACCAGCCACAGAAGAUUUGCCCUAAAGUCCUGCAACAUUGUCUUGCUGAUAUUCGGACUGCUGAGUAUUCUCUUAAUCUCCCUGCAGUUCAGCUUACAGAAAAAAGAAAAUGGUUGGACCUUUUGAACAGGUUCAGUGAUGCACACGGAGGAGGAGGAGGCCCCCAGCAUCACAGAG